RNAcentral lists this transfer RNA (77 nucleotides) under Mycoplasmoidaceae bacterium. RNAcentral's name for it is "tRNA-Arg". It matches the Rfam family "tRNA". Rfam says of the family: Transfer RNA (tRNA) molecules are approximately 80 nucleotides in length. Lineage: Bacteria; Bacillati; Mycoplasmatota; Mycoplasmoidales; Mycoplasmoidaceae. The record is from RNAcentral.
GCGCUCGUAGCUCAGUUGGAUAGAGCACACGCCUUCUAAGCGUGUUGUCGGGAGUUCGAAUCUCUUCGAGCGCGCCA